RNAcentral lists this ribosomal RNA (483 nucleotides) under uncultured bacterium. RNAcentral describes it as "partial 16S ribosomal RNA". It matches the Rfam family "Bacterial small subunit ribosomal RNA", at positions 30 to 507 of the family's 1533-position model. The record is from RNAcentral.
AUUGAACGCUGGCGGGAGGAGGAACACAGGCAAGUCGAGCGGAUGAAGGGAGCUUGCUCCUGGAUCAGCGGCGGACGGGUGAGUAAUGCCUCGGAAUCUGCCUGGGAGUGGGGGAUAACGUCCGGAAACGGGCGCUAAUACCGCAUACGUCCUGAGGGAGAAAGUGGGGGAUCUUCGGACCUCACGCUAUCAGAUGAGCCUAGGUCGGAUUAGCUAGUUGGUGGGGUAAAGGCCUACCAAGGCGACGAUCCGUAACUGGUCUGAGAGGAUGAUCAGUCACACUGGAACUGAGACACGGUCCAGACUCCUACGGGAGGCAGCAGUGGGGAAUAUUGGACAAUGGGCGAAAGCCUGAUCCAGCCAUGCCGCGUGUGUGAAGAAGGUCUUCGGAUUGUAAAGCACUUUAAGUUGGGAGGAAGGGCAGUAAGUUAAUACCUUGCUGUUUUGACGUUACCAACAGAAUAAGCACCGGCUCACUUCGUC